Non-coding RNA from Agelaius phoeniceus (red-winged blackbird), 836 nucleotides. Lineage: Eukaryota; Metazoa; Chordata; Aves; Passeriformes; Icteridae. The record is from RefSeq and is a predicted model, not a curated record.
AGGGUCUCCAGCUGCCCCCGGGCAUCGCGGGCUUCCCGAUGUGCUCGUUAAACAUCCACCGGGGAGUCUCACCCCCCAAACUUGUGUGAGCCGCUUCCUCUGGGAACAAUCACCCUUUCUCCCCCCCGCCUUGGAUCGGAUCCCGAUGGAAACUCAUCAAGGCCUCCUAAGUGGUCAGAGAAAAUCCUGACACAUUCAGCACCCUAAAGAAAUGGGGUUUUGUCAAUAAUUUGAUUUCCCUGCACUGCUCGGUGACUCUGCCUUGCCCUUUGUGUACUGUGCACUCAUCUUCCUCUGCAUUACAGGGAGAAUGGUCCAUUUCUUUUCAGAAAAAAAAUUCAAGUGUUUUGAAGCUUUUUUGUUUCAUUUAGUUUUUACUCCACUCCUGAGGUAGGGCUCGUAUGUUGGUUUUCUGUUUCCCAGGUAAGGCAUAUGCAUUAAAACCCAAAAGUGUUAGUGACUUCUUAGUACCUGAUUUUUCACACUUAGGAGCUCUACACUUUCAGAAUAGCUUACAUGAUACCUUGAAGCAGUGGCUGGUGCUCACCUUAUAUUAAGUUUGUGCUCCCAGUUGUUGGUUUUUAUCUGGUCCUAGAGUUUGACUAGGAGAACCUUAUGGUUUUCUUAGACUCAUUCUCAUAAGUAACUAAAUCUUUUUGUGUGAAAUUAUGCAGAGAGGCAGAGAAUCAACAUGGGAAAGUCCAUCUCAACAACAAAAUUUUAGCAGGGGUGUAAAUUGUUGUAAGCUGAGCUUCAUCGUGGGAAAUGCUCAGUAAUUAGACUACUGCUUGGUAUUAAUCCUGGAGUUCUAACAGAGAGAAGAGAAGAGAAGAGAA